RNAcentral lists this ribosomal RNA (662 nucleotides) under Bacillus sp. (in: firmicutes). RNAcentral describes it as "bacterial SSU rRNA". It matches the Rfam family "Bacterial small subunit ribosomal RNA", at positions 48 to 704 of the family's 1533-position model. The record is from RNAcentral. Lineage: Bacteria; Bacillati; Bacillota; Bacilli; Caryophanales; Bacillaceae.
CUAAUACAUGCAGUCGAGCGGACAGAUGGGAGCUUGCUCCCUGAUGUUAGCGGCGCGGGUGAGUAACACGUGGGUAACCUGCCUGUAAGACUGGGAUAACUCCGGGAAACGGGGCUAAUACCGGAUGCUUGUUUGAACCGCAUGGUUCAAACAUAAAAGGUGGCUUCGCUACCACUUACAGAUGGACCCGCGGCGCAUUAGCUAGUUGGUGAGGUAAUGGCUCACCAAGGCGACGAUGCGUAGCCGACCUGAGAGGGUGAUCGGCCACACUGGGACUGAGACACGGCCCAGACUCCUACGGGAGGCAGCAGUAGGGAAUCUUCCGCAAUGGACGAAAGUCUGACGGAGCAACGCCGCGUGAGUGAUGAAGGUUUUCGGAUCGUAAAGCUCUGUUUUAGGGAAGAACAAGUACCGUUCGAAUAGGGCGGUACCUUGACGGUACCUAACCAGAAGCCACGGCUAACUACGUGCCAGCAGCCGCGGUAAUACGUAGGUGGCAAGCGUUGGAAUUAUUGGGCGUAAAGGGCUCGCAGGCGGUUUCUUAAGUCUGAUGUGAAAGCCCCCGGCUCAACCGGGGAGGGUCAUUGGAAACUGGGGAACUUGAGUGCAGAAGAGGAGGUGGAAUUCCACGUGUAGCGGUGAAAUGCGUAGAGAUGUGGAGG